GAAAAGUCCCCGAAUUGGACCAAGGUUUUGGCUAGCCCCCCCAUUGUCAGACGUCCCGAGCGCGUUCCCGAAGUCGGAAUUGGCAAAGGUGAGCCGGGACAGCCUUCUUCCUCCGCCCAGCCGCCACAGUAAUUUGUCGUCAAGUCUGCCACAGGAGGAUAUUUUGUUCUGGGUUAACCUGCUUUUCUACCUCGCAGGUUGUUUAUCAAUAUUUGUGUAAUUUUAAUUACUCCUAGAAUUU
Hevea brasiliensis (rubber tree) is the source of this 241-nucleotide long non-coding RNA. RefSeq lists it as uncharacterized. Lineage: Eukaryota; Viridiplantae; Streptophyta; Magnoliopsida; Malpighiales; Euphorbiaceae. The record is from RefSeq and is a predicted model, not a curated record. The transcript is spliced from 3 exons.